GUGAGGGUGAUCUGGCUACGGUAUCUGUCACCCUACAGAUCACCAGGCCGACCCGGCCAAUCUGGCUGGCUAGGCAGUGUCCCCUUCCUCCCUCACUGCUCCACGUGCUUCUCUCCCCCCUCCCCCCACCCCAAGCUGCCCUCAGUUAAGACGACCUGACCAGAAAGAGGAUCGUUUUUUUGGUCAAGGGUAUAAAAGUAACUGCGCUCCCUUGCUGGAACAUCCAGCUCUCAAGGUCCAUUUGUAGAAGAACGUAGAGUAGUCAUGUUUCCAAGACUUCAGACACAUCCAGAUGACGCACUGCGUGUGGCAGUCUCU
RNAcentral lists this small nuclear RNA (318 nucleotides) under Panthera tigris altaica (Amur tiger). RNAcentral's name for it is "7SK RNA (ENSPTIG00000003995.1)". It matches the Rfam family "7SK RNA". Rfam says of the family: 7SK was discovered as an abundant small nuclear RNA in the mid-70s but a possible function has only recently been suggested. Two independent studies have found that 7SK RNA binds the CDK9/cyclin T complex (known as elongation factor P-TEFb). P-TEFb activates transcription by phosphorylating the C-terminal domain of RNA polymerase II. Lineage: Eukaryota; Metazoa; Chordata; Mammalia; Carnivora; Felidae. The record is from Rfam by way of RNAcentral.